GAAUCCCGUCCUUGACACAGACUCCCAGUGCUUUGUGAUGCGCUCUCGACGAGUCGAGUUGUUUGGGAUUGCAGCUCAAAAUGGGAGGUAAAUUCCUUCUAAAGCUAAAUAUUGGCGAGAGACCGAUAGCGAACAAGUACCGUGAGGGAAAGAUGAAAAGCACUUUGGAAAGAGAGUUAAACAGUACGUGAAAUUGUUAAAAGGGAAACGCUUGAAGUCAGCCACGUUUGCUUGGACUCAGCCUUACUUCGGUCUGGUGCAUUUCCUUGCAGACGGGCCAGCGUCCAUGUUGUUCGUCGGGAAAGGGGUGAAAGAAUGUGGCUCCUCUCAGAGUGUUAUAGCUUUGACUCGUAUGCGGGGGACAAUAUGGAGUGGUACAGCAUGCUUCGGUGGUGCUUGUGCUGGCAUAAUGGCUUUAAACGACCCGUCUUGAAACACGGACCAAGGAGUCUAACAUGUCUGCGAGUGUUUGGGUGGAAAACCCGAGCGCGUAAUGAAAGUGAUAGCUGGGAAACCCCUUUUGGAGAGGCACCGGCGCCCCGAGCUGACCUUCUGUGACGCAUCGGAGGUAGAGCAUAUAUGUUGGGACCCGAAAGAUGGUGAACUAUGCCUGAAUAGGGCGAAGCCAGAGGAAACUCUGGUGGAGGCUCGUAGCGAUUCUGACGUGCAAAUCGAUCGUCAAAUUUGGGUAUAGGGGCGAAAGACUAAUCGAACCAUCUAGUAGCUGGUUCCUGCC
This 736-nucleotide ribosomal RNA is filed under the name uncultured Clavulina. RNAcentral describes it as "partial 28S ribosomal RNA". It matches the Rfam family "Eukaryotic large subunit ribosomal RNA", at positions 216 to 962 of the family's 3401-position model. The record is from RNAcentral. Lineage: Eukaryota; Fungi; Basidiomycota; Agaricomycetes; Cantharellales; Hydnaceae.